Molecule: small nucleolar RNA, 133 nt
Organism: Artibeus jamaicensis (Jamaican fruit-eating bat)
Lineage: Eukaryota; Metazoa; Chordata; Mammalia; Chiroptera; Phyllostomidae
Product: small nucleolar RNA SNORA71
Exons: 1
Source: RefSeq, a predicted model, not a curated record
CCCCACAUUCAGAAGGGAUUGCGGACCGCCUGUGUCUCGCUCAUUGGUAGUGCGGGUAGAGGAAACAUGGAUGGGUUGUCCCAUGUUUGGGGGAGUCCACAUCCUCGCCUCCCGGUUCUGGAGCUUUCCCACA